CAUCCAGACUCCUACGGGAGGCAGCAGUGGGGGAUAUUGCACAAUGGGGGGAACCCUGAUGCAGCGACGCCGCGUGGGUGAAGAAGCGCCUCGGCGCGUAAAGCCCUGUCAGCAGGGAAGAAAAUGACGGUACCUGAAGAAGAAGCCCCGGCUAACUACGUGCCAGCAGCCGCGGUAAUACGUAGGGGGCAAGCGUUAUCCGGAUUUACUGGGUGUAAAGGGAGCGUAGACGGCGACGCAAGUCUGGAGUGAAAGCCCGGGGCCCAACCCCGGGACUGCUCUGGAAACUGCGGCGCUGGAGUACGGGAGGGGCAGGCGGAAUUCCUGGUGUAGCGGUGAAAUGCGUAGAUAUCAGGAGGAACACCGGCGGCGAAGGCGGCUUACUGGACGGCAACUGACGCUGAGGCUCGAAAGCGUGGGGAGCAAACAGGAUUAGAUACCCCAGUA
This 447-nucleotide ribosomal RNA is filed under the name uncultured bacterium. RNAcentral describes it as "partial 16S ribosomal RNA". It matches the Rfam family "Bacterial small subunit ribosomal RNA", at positions 328 to 792 of the family's 1533-position model. The record is from RNAcentral.